RNAcentral lists this ribosomal RNA (253 nucleotides) under uncultured bacterium. RNAcentral's name for it is "partial 16S ribosomal RNA". It matches the Rfam family "Bacterial small subunit ribosomal RNA", at positions 524 to 776 of the family's 1533-position model. The record is from RNAcentral.
UACGUAGGUGGCAAGCGUUGUCCGGAUUUACUGGGCGUAAAGGGCGCGUAGGCGGCCUGCUAAGUCGAACGUGAAAUCCCUGGGCUCAACCCAGGAACUGCGUCCGAUACUGGUUGGCUUGAAUCCGGGAGAGGGACGUGGAAUUCCAGGUGUAGCGGUGAAAUGCGUAGAUAUCUGGAGGAACACCGGUGGCGAAGGCGACGUCCUGGACCGGCAUUGACGCUGAGGCGCGAAAGCGUGGGGAGCAAACAGG